ACUAAGCGUACACGGUGGAUGCCCUGGCAGUCAGAGGCGAUGAAGGACGUGCUAAUCUGCGAUAAGCGUCGGUAAGGUGAUAUGAACCGUUAUAACCGGCGAUUUCCGAAUGGGGAAACCCAGUGUGUUUCGACACACUAUCAUUAACUGAAUCCAUAGGUUAAUGAGGCGAACCGGGGGAACUGAAACAUCUAAGUACCCCGAGGAAAAGAAAUCAACCGAGAUUCCCCCAGUAGCGGCGAGCGAACGGGGAGCAGCCCAGAGUCUGAAUCAGUGUGUGUGUUAGUGGAAGCGUCUGGAAAGGCGCGCGAUACAGGGUGACAGCCCCGUACACAAAAAUGCACAUACUGUGAGCUCGAUGAGUAGGGCGGGACACGUGGUAUCCUGUCUGAAUAUGGGGGGACCAUCCUCCAAGGCUAAAUACUCCUGACUGACCGAUAGUGAACCAGUACCGUGAGGGAAAGGCGAAAAGAACCCCGGCGAGGGGAGUGAAAAAGAACCUGAAACCGUGUACGUACAAGCAGUGGGAGCACGCUUAGGCGUGUGACUGCGUACCUUUUGUAUAAUGGGUCAGCGACUUAUAUUCUGUAGCAAGGUUAACCGAAUAGGGGAGCCGAAGGGAAACCGAGUCUUAACUGGGCGUUAAGUUGCAGGGUAUAGACCCGAAACCCGGUGAUCUAGCCAUGGGCAGGUUGAAGGUUGGGUAACACUAACUGGAGGACCGAACCGACUAAUGUUGAAAAAUUAGCGGAUGACUUGUGGCUGGGGGUGAAAGGCCAAUCAAACCGGGAGAUAGCUGGUUCUCCCCGAAAGCUAUUUAGGUAGCGCCUCGUGAAUUCAUCUCCGGGGGUAGAGCACUGUUUCGGCAAGGGGGUCAUCCCGACUUACCAACCCGAUGCAAACUGCGAAUACCGGAGAAUGUUAUCACGGGAGACACACGGCGGGUGCUAACGUCCGUCGUGAAGAGGGAAACAACCCAGACCGCCAGCUAAGGUCCCAAAGUCAUGGUUAAGUGGGAAACGAUGUGGGAAGGCCCAGACAGCCAGGAUGUUGGCUUAGAAGCAGCCAUCAUUUAAAGAAAGCGUAAUAGCUCACUGGUCGAGUCGGCCUGCGCGGAAGAUGUAACGGGGCUA
This 1133-nucleotide ribosomal RNA is filed under the name Escherichia coli. RNAcentral describes it as "partial 23S ribosomal RNA". It matches the Rfam family "Bacterial large subunit ribosomal RNA", at positions 10 to 1183 of the family's 2925-position model. The record is from RNAcentral. Lineage: Bacteria; Pseudomonadati; Pseudomonadota; Gammaproteobacteria; Enterobacterales; Enterobacteriaceae.